This 833-nucleotide ribosomal RNA is filed under the name uncultured marine microorganism. Its description in RNAcentral is "bacterial SSU rRNA". It matches the Rfam family "Bacterial small subunit ribosomal RNA", at positions 669 to 1501 of the family's 1533-position model. The record is from RNAcentral.
CCCGGUGUAGCGGUGAAAUGCGUAGAUAUCGGGAAGAACACCAGUGGCGAAGGCGCUCUGCUGGGCCAUCACUGACGCUCAUGGACGAAAGCCAGNNNAGCGAAAGGGAUUAGAUACCCCUGUAGUCCUGGCCGUAAACGAUGAACACUAGGUGUCGGGGGAAUCGACCCCCUCGGUGUCGUAGCCAACGCGUUAAGUGUUCCGCCUGGGGAGUACGCACGCAAGUGUGAAACUCAAAGGAAUUGACGGGGGCCCGCACAAGCGGUGGAGUAUGUGGUUUAAUUCGAUGCAACGCGAAGAACCUUACCAGGGUUUGACAUCCUGCGAAUCUCUUGGAAACAGGAGAGUGCCUUCGGGAACGCAGUGACAGGUGGUGCAUGGCUGUCGUCAGCUCGUGUCGUGAGAUGUUGGGUUAAGUCCCGCAACGAGCGCAACCCACGUCUUUAGUUGCCAGCAUUUAGUUGGGCACUCUAGAGAGACUGCCGGUGAUAAACCGGAGGAAGGUGUGGAUGACGUCAAGUCAUCAUGCCCCUUACAUCCUGGGCUACACACGUACUACAAUGCUACGGACAAAGGGCAGCAAGUUCGCGAGGACAAGCAAAUCCCAUAAACCGUGGCUCAGUUCAGAUCGUAGGCUGCAACUCGCCUACGUGAAGGCGGAAUCGCUAGUAAUCGCAGGUCAGCAUACUGCGGUGAAUACGUUCCCGGGCCUUGUACACACCGCCCGUCACACCAUGGAAGUUGGCCACGCCCGAAGCCGUUACUCCAACCCUUGUGGAGGAGGACGUCGAAGGUGGGGCUGAUGACUGGGGUGAAGUCGUAACAAGGUAACC